CAGUAAAAAAGUUUUCAAUGGGUAGCCU
RNAcentral lists this microRNA (28 nucleotides) under Anopheles gambiae (African malaria mosquito). RNAcentral describes it as "aga-miR-10356-3p". Lineage: Eukaryota; Metazoa; Arthropoda; Insecta; Diptera; Culicidae. The record is from miRBase by way of RNAcentral.